Molecule: ribosomal RNA, 484 nt
Filed under: uncultured bacterium
Lineage: Bacteria
Description: bacterial SSU rRNA
Rfam family: Bacterial small subunit ribosomal RNA
Source: RNAcentral
GACGAACGCUGGCGGCGUGCUUAACACAUGCAAGUCGAGCGGUAAGGCCCCUUCGGGGGUACACGAGCGGCGAACGGGUGAGUAACACGUGAGCAAUCUGCCCUUCACUCUGGGAUAACCCCCGGAAACGGGAGCUAAUACCGGAUACGACCACUUCAGGCAUCUGAUGGUGGUGGAAAGCUCCGGCGGUGGAGGAUGAGCUCGCGGCCUAUCAGCUUGUUGGUGAGGUAAUGGCUCACCAAGGCUUCGACGGGUAGCCGGCCUGAGAGGGUGACCGGCCACACUGGGACUGAGACACGGCCCAGACUCCUACGGGAGGCAGCAGUGGGGAAUAUUGGACAAUGGGCGAAAGCCUGAUCCAGCAACGCCGCGUGAGGGAUGACGGCCUUCGGGUUGUAAACCUCUUUCAGCACCGACGAAGCGAAAGUGACGGUAGGUGCAGAAGAAGGACCGGCCAACUACGUGCCAGCCGCCGCCGUAACAC